This 495-nucleotide ribosomal RNA is filed under the name uncultured bacterium. RNAcentral's name for it is "partial 16S ribosomal RNA". It matches the Rfam family "Bacterial small subunit ribosomal RNA", at positions 30 to 507 of the family's 1533-position model. The record is from RNAcentral.
UGAACGCUGGCGGCGUGCCUACUACAUGCACAUCGAGCGAACGGACGAGAAGCUUGCUUCUCUGAUGUUAGCGGCGGACGGGUGAGUAACACGUGGAUAACCUACCUAUAAGACUGGGAUAACUUCGGGAAACCGUAGCUAAUACCGGAUAAUAUUUUGAACCGCAUGGUUCAAAAGUGAAAGACGGUCUUGCUGUCACUUAUAGAUGGAUCCGCGCUGCAUUAGCUAGUUGGUAAGGUAACGGCUUACCAAGGCAACGAUGCAUAGCCGACCUGAGAGGGUGAUCGGCCACACUGGAACUGAGACACGGUCCAGACUCCUACGGGAGGCAGCAGUAGGGAAUCUUCCGCAAUGGGCGAAAGCCUGACGGAGCAACGCCGCGUGAGUGAUGAAGGUCUUCGGAUCGUAAAACUCUGUUAUUAGGGAAGAACAUAUGUGUAAGUAACUGUGCACAUCUUGACGGUACCUAAUCAGAAAGCCACGGCUAACUACGUG